GGGGCGUUAGCUCAGUUGGUAGAGCAGCUGACUCUUAAUCAGUUGGUCGCAGGUUCGACCCCUGCACGCCCUACCA
RNAcentral lists this transfer RNA (76 nucleotides) under Burkholderiales bacterium. RNAcentral's name for it is "tRNA-Lys". It matches the Rfam family "tRNA". Rfam says of the family: Transfer RNA (tRNA) molecules are approximately 80 nucleotides in length. Their secondary structure includes four short double-helical elements and three loops (D, anti-codon, and T loops). The record is from RNAcentral. Lineage: Bacteria; Pseudomonadati; Pseudomonadota; Betaproteobacteria; Burkholderiales. RNAcentral also lists the same sequence under 1 other name.